GAAAAUCAAAAUGGGUUUUUGGUAAAAUCUUGAAAAACAAAAAUAAAAUCCACAGGGUUUAAGCAUGGAUGCAAGAGAAACUGUGAGUAGUAGUAGUGGAGGUGGGGUUACAGUGGUGGGGUCCGAUGNNNNUCCAUCGAACUACAAGAUCGCUCCAAGGUCCGCCGACAACCCUAGCUCCGUCCCUGGAUCCGCGCCACCUCCGCAGCCGCAACCGGCGAUGGUGCCUCCGCCAUCCACGGCGGCGACGUUGCCUUUGAAGAAGAAACGAGGAAGGCCAAGAAAAUAUGGUCCUGACGGCAGCAUCACGAUGGCGUUGUCUCCAAAGCCGAUA
This 334-nucleotide unclassified non-coding RNA is filed under the name Hevea brasiliensis (rubber tree). Lineage: Eukaryota; Viridiplantae; Streptophyta; Magnoliopsida; Malpighiales; Euphorbiaceae. The record is from RNAcentral.